Molecule: transfer RNA, 71 nt
Filed under: bovine gut metagenome
Rfam family: tRNA
About the family: Transfer RNA (tRNA) molecules are approximately 80 nucleotides in length.
Source: RNAcentral
GGGGCAUGGCUCAGCUGGGAGAGCGUCAGGUUCGCAAUCUGAAGGUCGGGGGUUCGAUCCCCCCUGUCUCC